This 468-nucleotide ribosomal RNA is filed under the name uncultured bacterium. Its description in RNAcentral is "partial 16S ribosomal RNA". It matches the Rfam family "Bacterial small subunit ribosomal RNA", at positions 28 to 507 of the family's 1533-position model. The record is from RNAcentral.
GACGAACGCUGGCGGCGCGCCUAACACGUGCAAGUCGAACGGAGCUGAGAGAAGCUUGCUUUUCUUAGCUUAGUGGCGAACGGGUGAGUAACGCGUGAGUAACCUGCCCUGGAGUGGGGGACAACAGUUGGAAACGACUGCUAAUACCGCAUAAGCCCACGAUCCGGCAUCGGCUUGAGGGAAAAGGAUUUAUUCGCUUCAGGAUGGACUCGCGUCCAAUUAGCUAGUUGGUGAGGUAACGGCCCACCAAGGCGACGAUUGGUAGCCGGACUGAGAGGUUGAACGGCCACAUUGGGACUGAGACACGGCCCAGACUCCUACGGGAGGCAGCAGUGGGGGAUAUUGCACAAUGGGGGAAACCCUGAUGCAGCGACGCCGCGUGGAGGAAGAAGGUUUUCGGAUUGUAAACUCCUGUCGUUAGGGACGAUAAUGACGGUACCUAACAAGAAAGCACCGGCUAACUACGUG